UAAAGAUGCAAAUCGCUUUAGGAUGGGCCUAGGUCUGAUCAGCUAGUUGGUAAGGUAAUGGCUUACCAAGGCUAUGACCAGUAGGGGGGCUGAGAGGCUGUUCCCCAACGACGAGACUGAGAUACGGCUCGUACACCUACGGGUGGCAGCAGUCGAGAAUAUUCCGCAAUGGGCGAAAGCCUGACGGAGCGACACCGCGUAAAGGAAGAAGUGCUUAGGCAUGUAAACUUUUUUUGACCUUGAUAAAGUCUAAUGCACCUCACUGCGUUCGGUGCGAACUCAAGCGAAAAUCUAAAAACUAAAAGCGAAAAACAACAGCUAAAAACUUAAAACUAACCAAAACCUUAGUUUUUAACUUUUAGUUGUUACUUUAAGUUUUACGAUUUAAGCUUUAAGUUUGAGCAAGCGCCGAGCAUAGCGAGGUGCGUUAGAUUGAUAGUAAAGGUAGAAUAAGAAGCGGCAAACCUCGUGCCAGCAGCAGCGGUAAUACGAGGGCUUCAAGCGUUAUCCGGAUUUAUUGGGCGUAAAGCGCGCGAAGGUGGUCCGCCCCGCAAGGGGUGGCCCCGCCCCAAUUUUGCUUUUGAGUUUUAUGGCGGCGCAUGGGCGAAUAGCCCAGCCCUAUUCGGGUCAAGCUGCUGCAUAAUGAAUUAUACAUAAUAUGACGCGACAUAGCGUAUGUAUUAUGGUUCUCGACGGCAAAAUUGGAGCGGGGACUUAAGUCCACUGUUUAAUUCCGAGGCUCAACCUCGGAGCUGCAGUGGAAACUGGCGGACUAGAGAUAGGGAGAGGUUGAAUGGAACUCACGGUGUAGGGGUGAUAUCCGUUGAUAUCGUGGGGAACACCAAAAGCGAAGGCAGUCAACUAGCCCUGUUCUGACACUGUUGCACGAAAGCGUGGGCAUAAAAAAGGGUUAGAUAUCCUUGUAUUCCACGCCCUAAACGAUGUCGAUUAGUCAUUGGAAGCAUCGACCCUUUCAGUGGCGUAGCUUACGCGUUAAAUCGACCGCCUGGGAAGUACGGCCGCAAGGCUAAAACUCAAAGGAAUAGACGGGGACUCGCACAAGCGGUGGAUCAUGACGUUUAAUUCGAUGACAAACGAGGAACCUCACCAGGGCUUGAAAUUGUAGCCGUAUGCUUUGUCUGAAAGGACGGAGUUUCCCGCAAGGGAGGGCUAUAACAGGUGUUGCAUGGUUGUCGUCAGCUCGUGCCGUGAGGCGUUCCCUUCAGUGGGGUAACGAGCGCAACCCUUGUCCUGCGUUACAAGUGUCGCAGGAGACAGUCCCGUGAAACGGGAAGGAAGUGAGGAUGACGCCAAAUCAGCAUGACCCUUUGAUGCCCUGGGCAACACUCAUGAUACAAUGGCCGAGACAAUGCGUUGCCAAGCCGCGAGGCGGAGCUAAUCGCAUCAAACUCGGUCUCAGUUCAGAUUGCAGUCUGCAACUCGACUGCAUGAAGCCGGAAUCGCUAGUAAACGCGUAUCAGCUAUGGCGCGUUGAAUACGUUCUCGAGUCCUGUACUCACC
This 1521-nucleotide ribosomal RNA is filed under the name Parcubacteria group bacterium CG1_02_44_31. Its description in RNAcentral is "bacterial SSU rRNA". It matches the Rfam family "Bacterial small subunit ribosomal RNA", at positions 202 to 1391 of the family's 1533-position model. The record is from RNAcentral.